Molecule: transfer RNA, 75 nt
Filed under: bacterium SCGC AG-212-C10
Lineage: Bacteria
Also listed under: 11 other names
Description: tRNA-Gly
Rfam family: tRNA
About the family: Transfer RNA (tRNA) molecules are approximately 80 nucleotides in length.
Source: RNAcentral
GCGGAAGUAGCUCAGUGGUAGAGCGCCUCCUUGCCAAGGAGGAGGUCGCGAGUUCGACCCUCGUCUUCCGCUCCA